AAGUCGUAACAAGGUUUCCGUAGGUGAACCUGCGGAAGGAUCAUUACAGUAUUCUAUUGCCUGCGCUUAAUUGCGCGGCGAUAAACCUUACACACAAUGUUUUUUUUAUAUGAACUAUUACUUUGGUUUGGCUAAGAAAUUAGUUGAGCCAAAGAUUUAUUAAACUUCAAUUUUAUUGAAUUGUUAUUUUAAAUUUUUGUCAAUUUGUUGAUUAAAUUCAAAACAAUCUUCAAAACUUUCAACAACGGAUCUCUUGGUUCUC
RNAcentral lists this unclassified non-coding RNA (262 nucleotides) under [Candida] sp. RNAcentral's name for it is "Candida sp. (in: Saccharomycetales) partial internal transcribed spacer region". The stretch from base 1 to 46 matches the Rfam family "Eukaryotic small subunit ribosomal RNA", at positions 1786 to 1831 of the family's 1831-position model. Lineage: Eukaryota; Fungi; Ascomycota; Saccharomycetes; Saccharomycetales. The record is from RNAcentral.